RNAcentral lists this ribosomal RNA (2904 nucleotides) under Escherichia coli. RNAcentral's name for it is "23S ribosomal RNA". It matches the Rfam family "Bacterial large subunit ribosomal RNA". Lineage: Bacteria; Pseudomonadati; Pseudomonadota; Gammaproteobacteria; Enterobacterales; Enterobacteriaceae. The record is from RNAcentral.
GGUUAAGCGACUAAGCGUACACGGUGGAUGCCCUGGCAGUCAGAGGCGAUGAAGGACGUGCUAAUCUGCGAUAAGCGUCGGUAAGGUGAUAUGAACCGUUAUAACCGGCGAUUUCCGAAUGGGGAAACCCAGUGUGUUUCGACACACUAUCAUUAACUGAAUCCAUAGGUUAAUGAGGCGAACCGGGGGAACUGAAACAUCUAAGUACCCCGAGGAAAAGAAAUCAACCGAGAUUCCCCCAGUAGCGGCGAGCGAACGGGGAGCAGCCCAGAGCCUGAAUCAGUGUGUGUGUUAGUGGAAGCGUCUGGAAAGGCGCGCGAUACAGGGUGACAGCCCCGUACACAAAAAUGCACAUGCUGUGAGCUCGAUGAGUAGGGCGGGACACGUGGUAUCCUGUCUGAAUAUGGGGGGACCAUCCUCCAAGGCUAAAUACUCCUGACUGACCGAUAGUGAACCAGUACCGUGAGGGAAAGGCGAAAAGAACCCCGGCGAGGGGAGUGAAAAAGAACCUGAAACCGUGUACGUACAAGCAGUGGGAGCACGCUUAGGCGUGUGACUGCGUACCUUUUGUAUAAUGGGUCAGCGACUUAUAUUCUGUAGCAAGGUUAACCGAAUAGGGGAGCCGAAGGGAAACCGAGUCUUAACUGGGCGUUAAGUUGCAGGGUAUAGACCCGAAACCCGGUGAUCUAGCCAUGGGCAGGUUGAAGGUUGGGUAACACUAACUGGAGGACCGAACCGACUAAUGUUGAAAAAUUAGCGGAUGACUUGUGGCUGGGGGUGAAAGGCCAAUCAAACCGGGAGAUAGCUGGUUCUCCCCGAAAGCUAUUUAGGUAGCGCCUCGUGAAUUCAUCUCCGGGGGUAGAGCACUGUUUCGGCAAGGGGGUCAUCCCGACUUACCAACCCGAUGCAAACUGCGAAUACCGGAGAAUGUUAUCACGGGAGACACACGGCGGGUGCUAACGUCCGUCGUGAAGAGGGAAACAACCCAGACCGCCAGCUAAGGUCCCAAAGUCAUGGUUAAGUGGGAAACGAUGUGGGAAGGCCCAGACAGCCAGGAUGUUGGCUUAGAAGCAGCCAUCAUUUAAAGAAAGCGUAAUAGCUCACUGGUCGAGUCGGCCUGCGCGGAAGAUGUAACGGGGCUAAACCAUGCACCGAAGCUGCGGCAGCGACGCUUAUGCGUUGUUGGGUAGGGGAGCGUUCUGUAAGCCUGUGAAGGUGUGCUGUGAGGCAUGCUGGAGGUAUCAGAAGUGCGAAUGCUGACAUAAGUAACGAUAAAGCGGGUGAAAAGCCCGCUCGCCGGAAGACCAAGGGUUCCUGUCCAACGUUAAUCGGGGCAGGGUGAGUCGACCCCUAAGGCGAGGCCGAAAGGCGUAGUCGAUGGGAAACAGGUUAAUAUUCCUGUACUUGGUGUUACUGCGAAGGGGGGACGGAGAAGGCUAUGUUGGCCGGGCGACGGUUGUCCCGGUUUAAGCGUGUAGGCUGGUUUUCCAGGCAAAUCCGGAAAAUCAAGGCUGAGGCGUGAUGACGAGGCACUACGGUGCUGAAGCAACAAAUGCCCUGCUUCCAGGAAAAGCCUCUAAGCAUCAGGUAACAUCAAAUCGUACCCCAAACCGACACAGGUGGUCAGGUAGAGAAUACCAAGGCGCUUGAGAGAACUCGGGUGAAGGAACUAGGCAAAAUGGUGCCGUAACUUCGGGAGAAGGCACGCUGAUAUGUAGGUGAAGUCCCUCGCGGAUGGAGCUGAAAUCAGUCGAAGAUACCAGCUGGCUGCAACUGUUUAUUAAAAACACAGCACUGUGCAAACACGAAAGUGGACGUAUACGGUGUGACGCCUGCCCGGUGCCGGAAGGUUAAUUGAUGGGGUCAGCGCAAGCGAAGCUCUUGAUCGAAGCCCCGGUAAACGGCGGCCGUAACUAUAACGGUCCUAAGGUAGCGAAAUUCCUUGUCGGGUAAGUUCCGACCUGCACGAAUGGCGUAAUGAUGGCCAGGCUGUCUCCACCCGAGACUCAGUGAAAUUGAACUCGCUGUGAAGAUGCAGUGUACCCGCGGCAAGACGGAAAGACCCCGUGAACCUUUACUAUAGCUUGACACUGAACAUUGAGCCUUGAUGUGUAGGAUAGGUGGGAGGCUUUGAAGUGUGGACGCCAGUCUGCAUGGAGCCGACCUUGAAAUACCACCCUUUAAUGUUUGAUGUUCUAACGUUGACCCGUGAUCCGGGUUGCGGACAGUGUCUGGUGGGUAGUUUGACUGGGGCGGUCUCCUCCUAAAGAGUAACGGAGGAGCACGAAGGUUGGCUAAUCCUGGUCGGACAUCAGGAGGUUAGUGCAAUGGCAUAAGCCAGCUUGACUGCGAGCGUGACGGCGCGAGCAGGUGCGAAAGCAGGUCAUAGUGAUCCGGUGGUUCUGAAUGGAAGGGCCAUCGCUCAACGGAUAAAAGGUACUCCGGGGAUAACAGGCUGAUACCGCCCAAGAGUUCAUAUCGACGGCGGUGUUUGGCACCUCGAUGUCGGCUCAUCACAUCCUGGGGCUGAAGUAGGUCCCAAGGGUAUGGCUGUUCGCCAUUUAAAGUGGUACGCGAGCUGGGUUUAGAACGUCGUGAGACAGUUCGGUCCCUAUCUGCCGUGGGCGCUGGAGAACUGAGGGGGGCUGCUCCUAGUACGAGAGGACCGGAGUGGACGCAUCACUGGUGUUCGGGUUGUCAUGCCAAUGGCACUGCCCGGUAGCUAAAUGCGGAAGAGAUAAGUGCUGAAAGCAUCUAAGCACGAAACUUGCCCCGAGAUGAGUUCUCCCUGACCCUUUAAGGGUCCUGAAGGAACGUUGAAGACGACGACGUUGAUAGGCCGGGUGUGUAAGCGCAGCGAUGCGUUGAGCUAACCGGUACUAAUGAACCGUGAGGCUUAACCUU